CUUGCAAUUUCCCAAUGCUUCAGAGAGACCGAGUCGGCAACCAGAGGAUCUCUGACCCUCCUGAGAAGAAGCACGGCAAUUCUGGCACCUGCCCUGCCCACAGGUUCAGUGGCUGUGGUGAGGAGCAGGGCUCAAAAUAUCACACAGAAAUGUGAAAUGCUUAGAUUUCCCCUGCUAGUCCUGCAGCACACUGUUCACAUGCAUUUGGCCUCUGGUGUUGUGCAUAUUAUCAGGUCAAAAUACAUCAUUCCGAGACAGAUAGGUACGUUUAUAGUAGCAUCCUGGGGGAUAAAAUAGGUUAACUGAGAGUCUGAGAGAGUUUUCACCUGAGGUUUCUGAGGAUGUAGAAGCUGAUAUAAAAUACCAGGCAUGUAAGCCUCCCUAGGGAAAGGCACCACCUUCCUUCUUUUAAUUAGUUUCUGAAGUUAUUUUAAAUAUAAAGAGUGCCUUUUGGAAUAUGGCUACAUCCCCAAAAGAGGUGCUUAGCAUUCCAGAUGCACUGGUGUAAAGUCUAGAGGAUGAAAGGCUACUAGCCAGAAAUGUGGUAAUGCUUUUUAAAAUAAAUAUAUAAAACAAGUUUAUUGGCCAGACACUUUUCUUUUCUAUCACAGUAUAUCCAUUAGUAAUUCUGAAUUCCAGAUGUGCAAUGACAAUGCAUACAUAUAUUUUUCAGACCCGGUGCCCGGUCAGAACUCAUAUGUUGUCGCAGAGGAGCCUCUGGACUGCAGUCAGGGAGCAAAUAACUUUACAGCUUAUCCAUUGCACAGCUGCAUGCCCUGGUUUAUAGACCCUUCAUAACAGUUUGACUCUGAGAACACACAACUAAAGAAAAAAAAAUACGUGGUUUUUUUUUUUUUUUUUCCUAUCGUAACUUCUCCAAGUUUUCUGAUGGGAAUGCAGUUUGGAAAAGGGAGAGGGCUGGUCUUGAGUCUUCACCUCUUGCGAGUUUCUUCACAGGAAAUGAAGACUGACAGCUGCACCACGUUACUCAGCUAUCUGAUGAGACAGACCUCUGCUGGGAAACCCCGAAAGGAGCACAGUCUACAUGAGGUGUCAUGCCAGCGAGGGCCACUGCUCCCAGCUCCACGUGGAUUAUUUUUGAGCAGGACACGUCCAUCGGCAGAGAGUUUGAGCUCUGCAACCCGUGAUGAGACAGAAGAAGAAAAACAGCAGGAUAUGGGUCUUGAGAAGAAAGUUAAACCGUUUAAGUUACCUGCUUCUUACACUUAGAGCCCACUUCUACAAACACAGCUUACUGUGUUGAGGCAUCGUAAGCUCAGGAAGUCCCAAGGCAAGGCUCACAGAAAGGAUUUAUUCCAAUGGCUCUUCUGGGCCUUGCUGCCUUCAGACGAUCACAAAUCGCAGCAGUGUGUGGCAGCGGGGGAUCACCUCUUGUUAGGCUGUGUAAAGUCCCUGCUGAGGUGCACCAGCUAAGCUGUGGUUCGGCUGGUGUUACACCUCUGUCUUGAGCUGAAGGAGUCUGUAUUCCUCAUCCUCUGGUUGGGGGGAGGACCAUCAGAUUUCUGGCAUUCAUAACAUCAAUUGUUAAAGCAGUGGUGGAAACAGAAAUGGCUGGUUGCAGCAGUUCUCCAUGGUAAAGGCUUGCUUUUCCCUGUUCAUCACAUAAAGUAGCAUUAGGGGUGUCCUGAGGUUCUUCAGGUAACACUUCAUACCCUUGCUAAAAAAAUGUAUACAGUACUACCAGUGUUGAUGAGGGCAAUGACCAAAACAGGCUGGGAGGCUGCAGAUGAGAUGCCAAAUAAUUUUUUUAAUCCUGCCUACCCGAGUGAAAGUACAGAGAGUCUUCUCAUGUCUUUGAAUUUUGUAGAGAUGUCUAUACUGAGCUUUAUGUUGUACAAAACCUUGGUAAGAAGUAUUUCAGCUAUCAGCUGGGAGAAUUUUGCAAAUCCUUGCCACUGAUGUAGAGUGCAUCUGGGGGUGU
This 1942-nucleotide long non-coding RNA is filed under the name Anas platyrhynchos platyrhynchos (common mallard). RNAcentral's name for it is "lncRNA (ENSAPLG00000031073.1)". The record is from RNAcentral. Lineage: Eukaryota; Metazoa; Chordata; Aves; Anseriformes; Anatidae.